Malania oleifera is the source of this 219-nucleotide long non-coding RNA. RefSeq lists it as uncharacterized. The record is from RefSeq and is a predicted model, not a curated record. The transcript is spliced from 3 exons. NCBI's taxonomy places the organism in Eukaryota, Viridiplantae, Streptophyta, Magnoliopsida, Santalales, Ximeniaceae.
AGUUUUACGCCGGAUCGACAAACCGAAACCACCACGACGCUCCUGGCGAAAUUCUCUACAAGUUUGCCGGAACGGAUCGUCAGGAAAACGAAAUUGGAUUUCAUCCCAAAUCCAAGUUCCAGGGUGUUGAUUGGGAACGUGGGAAAUCAUCCCUAAGUUGAGGGUGUUGAGUUGAGAACCUUGUGGGUACGGGGGAGAUUUUCUUAGGGGCUUUUCAGG